Molecule: RNA transcript, 2440 nt
Organism: Physeter macrocephalus (sperm whale)
Lineage: Eukaryota; Metazoa; Chordata; Mammalia; Artiodactyla; Physeteridae
Gene: RARS1
Gene name: arginyl-tRNA synthetase 1
Exons: 18
Source: RefSeq, a predicted model, not a curated record
UGCUUCCGCUUCCGGCGGCUUGGUGGGUAAGGCGCUGACGAGAGGAUGGACGGCUUGGUUGCUCAUUGCUCCGCGCGGCUGCUGCAGCAGGAGAAAGAGAUUACGUUUCUGACUGCUGAAAUUGAUCGGUUGAAAAACCGCAGCUGUUCAGAAGCUGCUUCAAAUUUGGAACAGUUGCGGGAAGAAAAUUUAAAAUUAAAGUAUCGGCUGAAUAUCCUUCAAAAGAGUCUUCAAGCAGAAAGGAGCAAACCAACUAAAAAUAUGCUUAACAUCAAUAGUUGCCUACAAGAGGUCUUUGGUUGUGCCAUUAAGGCUGCCUAUCCAGAUUUGGAAAAUCCUCCACUGAUAGUGACACCAAGUCAACAGCCCAAGUUUGGGGACUAUCAAUGUAAUAGUGCUAUGGGUAUCUCUCAGAUGCUCAAAACCAAGGAACAGAAAGUUAAUCCAAGGGAAAUUGCUGGAAACAUUAUCAAACACCUCCCAGACAAUGAAUAUAUUGAAAAAGUUGAAAUUGCUGGUCCUGGUUUUAUUAAUGUCCACUUAAGAAAGGGCUUUGUAUCACAACAGUUGACCAACCUCUUGGUGAAUGGUGUUAAACUACCUGCCAUUGGAGCGAACAAAAAGGUUGUAGUUGACUUUUCCUCUCCCAACAUAGCUAAAGAGAUGCAUGUAGGCCAUCUCAGGUCAACGAUCAUAGGAGAGAGCAUGUGCCGCCUCUUUGAGUUUGCAGGAUAUAACGUGCUGCGAUUAAACCAUGUAGGAGAUUGGGGAACCCAGUUUGGCAUGCUCAUUGCUCACCUGCAAGACAGAUUUCCGGAUUACCUAACAGUUUCACCUCCCAUUGGGGAUCUUCAGGCUUUUUAUAAGGAAUCCAAGAAGAGGUUUGAUACCGAGGAGGAAUUUAAGAAGAGAGCAUACCAGUGUGUUGUUUUACUCCAGAGUAAAAAUCCAGACAUCAUAAAAGCUUGGAAGCUUAUCUGUGAUGUCUCCCGCCAAGAGUUUAAUAAAAUCUAUGAGGCGUUGGACAUUUCUUUAAUAGAGAGGGGAGAAUCCUUCUAUCAAGAUAGGAUGAAUGAUAUUGUGAAGGAGUUUGAAGAUAGAGGAUUUGUGCAAGUGGAUGAUGGCAGAAAGAUUGUGUUUGUUCCAGGAUGUUCCAUACCAUUAACCAUAGUAAAAUCAGAUGGAGGUUAUACCUAUGAUACAUCUGACCUGGCUGCUAUUAAACAAAGACUAUUUGAGGAAAAAGCAGAUAUGAUCAUCUAUGUGGUGGACAAUGGACAAUCUUUACACUUCCAGACAGUAUUUGGUGGUGCUCAAAUGAUUGGUUGGUAUGACCCUGAAGUAACUCGAGUGUCUCAUGCUGGAUUUGGUGUGGUGCUGGGGGAAGACAAGAAGAAGUUUAAAACACGAUCAGGUGAAACAGUGCGCCUCAUAGACCUUCUGGAAGAAGGACUAAAACGCUCCAUGGACAAAUUGAAGGAAAAAGAAAGAGACAAGGUCUUAACCACAGAGGAAUUGAAGGCUGCUCAGACAUCUGUUGCUUAUGGCUGUAUCAAAUAUGCUGAUCUUUCCCAUAACCGGUUGAAUGACUAUAUCUUCUCCUUUGACAAAAUGCUGGAUGACAGAGGAAAUACAGCGGCUUACUUGUUGUAUGCCUUCACUAGAAUCAGGUCGAUUGCACGUCUGGCCAGUAUUGAUGAAGAAAUGCUCCAGAAAGCUGCUCGAGAGACCAAGAUCAUUUUGGACCAUGAGAAGGAAUGGAAACUAGGCCGGUGCAUUUUGCGGUUCCCUGAGGUUCUGCAGAAGAUCUUAGAUGACUUAUUUCUCCACACUCUCUGUGAUUAUAUCUAUGAGCUGGCAACUACUUUCACAGAAUUCUAUGAUAGCUGCUAUUGUGUGGAGAAAGAUCGACAAACUGGAGAAGUAUUGAAGGUGAACAUGUGGCGUAUGCUGCUAUGCGAAGCAGUAGCUGCUGUCAUGGCCAAGGGGUUUGAUAUCCUGGGAAUAAAGCCUGUCCAAAGAAUGUAAUCCUCUUAGUUGUCUGUGUCACUGAAUGAGAACUGCUAAGGAAUGAAAGAGUUUAAACCCUUUACUUCGGACCACACUCAGCCUGUCUGCAUCCCUCUGAUUCAACCACCAAGGGAGGAGGGAGGCAUCCCGGGGCUGCUGCUCCCCACCGACACCCACCCUGUCUAGCACGAUUUUGGUCACCAGGAUUUUACCAGGUGAUACUGCAGUGAAGACUCUUGGGUAUAAAUCUUGGCACAGAUCCAUGAUCAUUCUCCUUCUAGGAAACAAGAGGUGGAAUUGUGGAGUCAGAAGCACUUUGCAGAUUCCUGCUUUUUCCUUCUAGCCCACCCGGAUUUCAGGCCAGCCUUUGUACCCAUCCCAGGUGCAUCACCGAUCCCCAUGGCUUUAAGAUCUCCUGUUCCCAUGGCCC